AGACCUGUAGUAUCGAAGUGUAGUAUCGAACAGGGAGUCGGAAAUGGGGCUUGCUCCGUCCGCUCCACGCAUCGACCCGGUAUUGCAGUACCUCCGGGAACGGUGCAACACUU
This 113-nucleotide small nuclear RNA is filed under the name Salmo salar (Atlantic salmon). RNAcentral's name for it is "U2 spliceosomal RNA (ENSSSAG00020015464.1, ENSSSAG00020015467.1, ENSSSAG00020017017.1)". It matches the Rfam family "U2 spliceosomal RNA", at positions 80 to 192 of the family's 192-position model. Rfam says of the family: U2 is a small nuclear RNA (snRNA) component of the spliceosome (involved in pre-mRNA splicing). Complementary binding between U2 snRNA (in an area lying towards the 5' end but 3' to hairpin I) and the branchpoint sequence (BPS) of the intron results the bulging out of an unpaired adenosine, on the BPS, which initiates a nucleophilic attack at the intronic 5' splice site, thus starting the first of two transesterification reactions that mediate splicing. Lineage: Eukaryota; Metazoa; Chordata; Actinopteri; Salmoniformes; Salmonidae. The record is from Rfam by way of RNAcentral.